Molecule: long non-coding RNA, 379 nt
Organism: Rhinolophus ferrumequinum (greater horseshoe bat)
Lineage: Eukaryota; Metazoa; Chordata; Mammalia; Chiroptera; Rhinolophidae
Exons: 3
Source: RefSeq, a predicted model, not a curated record
CAGCUCCCGCCUCAGCCUAUGCCAGGAGGCGGAUGACUCCAUUGUCUGAGCCCAGCAGGAGGUGGCGUUUGGUAGGCAGCAAGGCCAGGCUGCUCCUUCCAGACGGUCAAAGAGUGGUCAGAGGAGGAGCUGACCAGGAUGCUGCCUUCCACCGCCUGCUCAGGGAGAGGAGAGCCUCAGCAGGGCCUGGGCCUCCCGGGUGCCCACCAAGCCUCAGGGUCUUCCUGUUUCCUCCCAGAAAGACCGGCAUCGUGAGCAGUGGACAAGCUACCACCCUCUCACACUAUGUUAAUGCCAGCCACGCAGAACCAGGCCUGUACGGGUGUCCAAGAGCACCAUGAAACCCGAGGAGAAGCCAGCCACGACACUGCGGCCACUG